GCCAAUAUUAAAAGAAACAAGAAAGAAGACAACAACGAACACCUGAGAUUUAUUUGUCUCUCUGCUCUCAGUUCAAACACCCAUAUGUAUGAAUGGGUUUUCGGAAAUAGAAGUCUAACUUUUGGUAGUUCAGAUCAGUUUGAUAUCAUUAUAACUUUUCAACUAUUAUAUCCAGAAAUUACUGAUGAUGGUGAAAUACUAUUUGAGUUUGGUUUGACGACGGCAACGAUUCUUUUACUUUCUGAUUGUCCAAAUAUUGUUAUCAGAGGUCAAAGAUGUGACGAGGAUCUAGGAAUAUGUCUAUAUGUACUAGAAAAUGAAUUUAUAAAACUGGAAAAUGGUAUUUUUGAACUAAGUUCAGAAUAUGUACGAGGACAGCUGACAUUGAAACUUCAUAAAUCUCAUUUUGUCGUGAUGUCUACCCAUAAAAUUAUCCAUAUAUCAAAGAUACUCAAUAUUUCUAAAGAUGUGAAACUGUGGCCAGUAUUUACAUUCUACAACGUACAUCUUAUUCAUAUAUCACACACAAUUGUGUCCGAAGAUGACAUAAGCUUCAAUAGAACAACAGUUGAUCCGCAUUAUUCUAUUUCUGAGGACAAUUACACUAUUUCAAACUGUAAAUUCCAACCCAACAAGAUGUGUCUUUCGUAUUCUGAUGUUGGCCUAAUUUGCAUUCAAAUUGCAUUUUACCUUUUUACUGUAGCUUUUAUCUGUUUUUUUAUUUUAAAUACUUAUGUAUUCAUUAAGUCAUUGUAAUAUCACUGGGGUAAAGCUGAUGACCGCAACUGCAUUCACGGUCAUCCCAAGAUGUCGGAUGAAAAAUUAGGUCAGUAUCUGUAUUGUCUGUUAUAGUGUUUCUAUAUCAUUUUCUUUGCAAAUCAUACAUUGAUACGAUGUAAAUUUAUAAAGAUUCACACGGAAAUCACAAAUUACUACCGAGAAAUGUGCAUGAAACAGGAAAUUCGAUUUGAAAAAAUUGCUCAAAUGACCGUAACCAAAUCAGCGAUUCAUAACAAGGAUGACCGUAAUUGGUUGAAAGAUGACCGUAAUUGGUUGAAAGAUGACCGUAAUUUGUAAAGGAUGACCAUAAUUUAUAAAUGAUGACCGUAACUUUUAAAGGAUGACAGUCAAUUUUAAGGAAUAUCCGUAUUUAUAACUAUUUUUUUAUAUCAAAUAAUUAAUCAUGUUGGUAUAUUUAUAUGAGAGAAUUAUCCUAUGGGUAGAAGAAAAUAAGACGUGCUUCAAAUACAUAGUUCACCAUAUGUAUCUUUUUUACGGUAGAGGGUAUAUCUAUACUAUUAAGCGAGAAGACCUCAUUUUGGGUGUCGCUUCUCUUCUUUCCACAAUAAAUUGAUCAACACGCC
This 1364-nucleotide long non-coding RNA is filed under the name Mytilus galloprovincialis (Mediterranean mussel). Lineage: Eukaryota; Metazoa; Mollusca; Bivalvia; Mytilida; Mytilidae. The record is from RNAcentral.